GACGAACGCUGGCGGCGUGCUUAACUCAUGCAAGUCGAACGGAAAGGCCUCUUUCGGGGGGUACUCGAGUGGCGAACGGGUGAGUAACACGUGAGUAACCUGCCCUUGACUUUGGGAUAACUUCAGGAAACUGGGGCUAAUACCGGAUAGGAGCUCCUGCUGCAUGGUGGGGGUUGGAAAGUUUCGGCGGUUGGGGAUGGACUCGCGGCUUAUCAGCUUGUUGGUGGGGUAGUGGCUUACCAAGGCUUUGACGGGUAGCCGGCCUGAGAGGGUGACCGGCCACAUUGGGACUGAGAUACGGCCCAGACGCCUACGGGAGGCAGCAGGGGGGAAUAUUGCACAAUGGGUGGAAGCCGGAUGCAGCAACGCCGUGUGCGGGAUGACGGCCUUCGGGUUGUAAACCGCUUUCGCUCAUGACGAAGCUUUGCGUGACGGUAGUGGGUAAAGAAGCACCGGCUAACUACGUG
RNAcentral lists this ribosomal RNA (467 nucleotides) under uncultured bacterium. RNAcentral's name for it is "partial 16S ribosomal RNA". It matches the Rfam family "Bacterial small subunit ribosomal RNA", at positions 28 to 507 of the family's 1533-position model. The record is from RNAcentral.